GAAUUAAUACAGUGAAUCAGUAAAUUCACCGGCUCAGAACUGAUUCAGUGACAAUUCAUAACUGAGGAAGAUGACGCUCUGCGCGCUGGGAGAGAGGCGGCUCUGGACGCUCUGCACGCUGAGAAAGAGGCGGCUCUGGACGCUCUGCGUGCUGAGAGAGAGGCGGCUCUGGACGCUCUGCGCGCUGAGAGAGAGGCGACUCUGCGUGCUGAGAUCGAUAGGCUCAGGCUGGAAAUUGUGACUAGGAGGACAAGCUCGCGCAGGCCUAGAUGAGACGACUGAUCCUUGAGCAGAAGACGAAGGCGGUGGAAGACCGACACCGAAAAUAAACAAAAUACAGCUGAAGACUGGAAAAACAUCACCUUCCAGUCUCCAGCUGUGUCAGGUUCCUGUUCCUGCCUGACAAGAGCGGAGCCUGAUGUGACGAUCUGCUGAUGGAGCCCAUCCACCUCAAGAUUUGAGGAUAGUUUAAUUUAAUAACCAUGGUGAAAUGUAAACAGCAACCUUGAUGUUAGUUGUUUGUUGCCAUGGUUACAUUCUAACAUCAUAAAAUAUGGUACUUUCGAAUGGUUUCCAACGUUCACUGUGUUUAUACGAGGUUUCUACAAGAAAGUUUGGUUAGCAGAAGUUUGGUUAGCAGUUGAUGCUGUGUGUAAUUAAAGUGUAAUUUUAGCAAUUGUUGGCUCAAAUUUAGCCUAUUACCCAAAAACAUUUAAAAUUCAACUUAGAAGCCAAUACUCACAUCUACCUCUGAGCCCAGUUGGAGAUAGAAAAAAUACACCAGCCGUGAGUGAGAAGAAGCAAGGGUCCAGCUUUAUUGUUCCAUUCCACCACACGAGAUCCACACCGAUGAGAAUUCUCAGAAGUGAUCCCAAUACCCUGAGCUUAAGCUCCAGUAUUUAUACUGUAUUUACACACUAAAUAACCCAGAUGUUUCAAGAAGACUACGAUCUCACUACCAAUAGGGUUAAAAAAGAGCUCAUUUACCUUACUCUUAUGUUCCAGAAAAGGGCUAUUUCACUUACACAUAGAAUUGAAACCAGGGGUUUUAAUUUACACAUAAAAUCAGAACCCAGGCAUUUCUAAUAACCCAGAAAAUAAAAACCCAGAGUUUUGAAUUACACAGAGAAUCAGAAACCAGAGUUUUCAGUUACCUAGGGCAUCAGAAACUUCAUUUUUCAUUUACCUAGGGAAUCGAAACCAGAGAGUUUGAAUAACCCGUAAAAUAGAAAGUGGACAAGACUAAACAAUCUAGAGUGACCUUGGUCUUACUGUUAUCUCGC
Molecule: long non-coding RNA, 1283 nt
Organism: Ictalurus furcatus (blue catfish)
Lineage: Eukaryota; Metazoa; Chordata; Actinopteri; Siluriformes; Ictaluridae
Exons: 3
Source: RefSeq, a predicted model, not a curated record